RNAcentral lists this ribosomal RNA (443 nucleotides) under uncultured bacterium. RNAcentral's name for it is "partial 16S ribosomal RNA". It matches the Rfam family "Bacterial small subunit ribosomal RNA", at positions 331 to 792 of the family's 1533-position model. The record is from RNAcentral.
CCAGACUCCUACGGGAGGCAGCAGUGGGGGAUAUUGCACAAUGGGGGAAACCCUGAUGCAGCGACGCCGCGUGGGUGAAGAAGCGCCUCGGCGCGUAAAGCCCUGUCAGCAGGGAAGAAAAUGACGGUACCUGAAGAAGAAGCUCCGGCUAACUACGUGCCAGCAGCCGCGGUAAUACGUAGGGAGCAAGCGUUGUCCGGAAUUACUGGGUGUAAAGGGAGCGUAGGCGGGGAUGCAAGUUGGGUGUCAAAACUAUCGGCUCAACCGAUAGUCGCACUCAAAACUGCAGCUCUUGAGUGAAGUAGAGGCAGGCGGAAUUCCUAGUGUAGCGGUGAAAUGCGUAGAUAUUAGGAGGAACACCAGUGGCGAAGGCGGCCUGCUGGGCUUUUACUGACGCUGAGGCUCGAAAGUGUGGGGAGCAAACAGGAUUAGAUACCCGAGUA